Long non-coding RNA from Pongo pygmaeus (Bornean orangutan), 1526 nucleotides. RefSeq lists it as uncharacterized. The transcript is spliced from 3 exons. The record is from RefSeq and is a predicted model, not a curated record. Lineage: Eukaryota; Metazoa; Chordata; Mammalia; Primates; Hominidae.
GACUUCACAUCCUUUGACAUCAGCACAGCUUUGAAAGGGGGAUGGGAGAGCGAGCAGAAAGCAGAAAAACCAGCUUUGAACUAUGCAUGCAAGGCCUCUUUCAAGCCUCAAAUUCUAGCUGACAGACACUGCUGGAUUCCAUGGCUGGCCAGGAGAUGAUGUGAUUUCUAACACAUGUGGGCAGUGGGCACCCACCACCUGAGCAGGCUGCCGGCCUCACACCUGCUCUGACUUUGCUGCUAUCUGAACAGCAGAAUUACAUUUUUUUUUUUUUAAAAGAGCACGUGCUUUCAGUUGGAUAAGGACGGCUUGAGCCAGGGCAGUUCAGAAACACUGGAGGAGCAGAGGCAGCAGGGCGCUGGACCAGACAGAGGACGGGACUGUCCAAGGAGUGGUCUCCUUGUGAGGCAAUGAGCUGAGAUUACAGCUGGCAGCUAGAAACCACACCCCGUGGGUGCCACCCAGAGAGAGCUGAGACUGACCAUGGAGUAACGGCCGAGGUCAUGUGUGUAGCCCCGGGCCAUGGAGAGGGGGUACCCUGGAGGGGCUGGGCUGGUUGGCUGGGCUCAGGCUGACAGCCAACGGGCUCCCCAGUGUUCCGAAGAGGGAGUGGCCCUGGUGGUGCCUUUCUGUGGCUUAGAGGGGCUGAAGCUAGAACACUGCUGUGACUCUGGGCCUGCUGGUUCCCUGAGGGCAAGGGCCACCUUGGGUCAUCGCUCUGAACACCUCCCCUUGCUCUGAGCAGCACAGAUGGCCAGUGUGAACUGCCUCAGCAAUCCAGGGACUGUGUCCUCUCAUCAAGAUAUCAUGGGUAAUCAUGAGAAGACACAAAAAUCAAAACAUGUGAGAGAAGAAAAGACUAAUGAAAGCAGAGAUUCCCUGCGCGGCUCUUUCUAAGCCGACUAGAAGAGCAGCAGGCACUCCGAUAACUUCCGCGCAGUCCACUUUUAUUAUUCUUCAACUAACAGGCAAGAAGCCAAAGUUCCUGUAAAUAUAUGCAUAAUUCAUUUGUAAGCAGUUAAACCUCUACUUUUAUGGUAAAGCUUUCAAUUGUAUUGGAAAAUAGGCAGGGUGCAGUGGCUCAUGGCUGUAAUCCUAGCACUUUGGGAGGCGGAGGUGGGUGGAUUGCUUCAGCCCACAAGUUCGAGACCAGCCUGGGCAACAUGGUGAAACCACGUCUCUACUAAAAAUACAAAAAUUAGCUGUGCGUGGUGGUGCGCACCUGUGGUCCCAGCUACUCGGAAGGCUGAGCUGGGAGGACUGCUUGAGCCUGGGAGGUCCGGGCUGCAGUGAGCUGACAUCGUGCCAUUGCACUCCAGCCUGGGUGACAGAGUGAAACCCUGUCUCAAAAAAAUAAAAUAAACUGCUUUGAAUGAGGGUGAAGUAUUGUAUUUGCAUGAGAGGAGAGCAAGAGAUGUAAAAUAUUUAACUGGUAUUCAAAAGCCAAUUUUAAACAAUUCAAGUAAAUUCUAACAAUAAUGUAAUGACUUCUUUCACAAAAGACCAAAUACUCAGCAACUCUUUUG